Molecule: small nuclear RNA, 201 nt
Organism: Panicum virgatum (switchgrass)
Lineage: Eukaryota; Viridiplantae; Streptophyta; Magnoliopsida; Poales; Poaceae
Product: U2 spliceosomal RNA
Exons: 1
Source: RefSeq, a predicted model, not a curated record
AUACUUUUCUCGGCCUUUUAGCUAAGAUCAAGUGUAGUAUCUGUUCUUAUCAGUUUAAUUAAUAUCUGAUAUGUGAGGUCUUGUCCUCACAGUGAUAUUAAAUUUAUUUUUUUAUGGGGGAGAGCCACUGUUGUAGCUUCCUACUCGGCUCUCGAGCGUCGCCCUGGUGUUGCACUGUUGCUUGGGUUAGGCGCACCUCCA